UGGGGAAUCUUGCACAAUGGGGGAAACCCUGAUGCAGCGACGCCGCGUGAACGAUGAAGCCCUUCGGGGUGUAAAGUUCUUUCGACAGGAACGAUAAUGACGGUACCUGGAGAAGAAGCUGCGGCUAACUACGUGCCAGCAGCCGCGGUAAUACGUAGGCAGCGAGCGUUGUUCGGAGUUACUGGGCGUAAAGAGUGCGUAGGCGGCGAGCCAAGUUUGGUGUGAAAUCUCCCGGCUUAACCGGGAGGGUGCGCCGAAAACUGGUUGGCUGGAGUAUGGGAGAGGAAAGCGGAAUUCCUGGUGUAGCGGUGAAAUGCGUAGAUAUCAGGAGGAACACCUGCGGUGUAGACAGCUUUCUGGACCAAAACUGACGCUGAGGCACGAAAGCGUGGGUAGCAAACG
This 402-nucleotide ribosomal RNA is filed under the name uncultured bacterium. Its description in RNAcentral is "bacterial SSU rRNA". It matches the Rfam family "Bacterial small subunit ribosomal RNA", at positions 355 to 774 of the family's 1533-position model. The record is from RNAcentral.